CGUCGGUCUCCUAAACCGAAGUUUGGGGGUUCGAGUCCCCCCGUGGGUCCAGUGUUUGAUGAAUCUCCCUGUGUGUUGAAACCAUGAGAACCGGCAGAUUGGGUUUACACUUUGCAGACAAAAAUCCUUAAUCUAGGCGAUUAAGCUCCAUUUACUUGCUGAAAGAGGAGCUUAAGGAUCUGGUGGAAAGACCUCUCUUUCAGCCCUAACAUUAUCCCUUAGAGGUUUAUCAUGAAAAACUUGCCUACGACAGAGUUUUAUUGACCUUGAGACCAUCUUUGUCCUGGUUUCUACGCUACACUCUGCAUUAAGAACCGGGUCCUUAUAAAGUAAUUUUAAAAAGAAAUAAUUUACUUAUUUUUUUCUUCUUGAUAUAUUUUUAACUGAAGUACUUUAUCAAUUCCCUCACAUUUCUUCAACUUGCCAAUUUAUUUUUUCUUGUGUAGUUUGUAGUGUGGUGACUUAGGCUCUUCCUUAAACUCUCCUCGCAUUGAAGGGUGACUGUUUAUUUAUUU
This 515-nucleotide long non-coding RNA is filed under the name Eurytemora carolleeae. Its description in RNAcentral is "uncharacterized LOC111714956". The stretch from base 1 to 49 matches the Rfam family "tRNA", at positions 24 to 71 of the family's 71-position model. The record is from RNAcentral. Lineage: Eukaryota; Metazoa; Arthropoda; Copepoda; Calanoida; Temoridae.